AACGAACGCUGGCGGCAGGCCUAACACAUGCAAGUCGAGCGCCCUUUCGGGGGAGCGGCGUGCUGGUGAGUAACGCGUGGGUAGAUGCCCUUCUCUACGCAAGAGCCUCGGGAAACUGAGAGUGAUACCGAAUACGCCCUGAGGGGGGAUGAUAUAUCGGGGAAGGAUUAGUCCGCGGUGGAUUAUGUAGGAGGUGGGGUAAUGGCCUACCAAGCCGAAGAUCCAUAGCUGGGGUGAGAAGAUGAGCAGCCACACUGCGACUGAGACACGUCGCAGACCUCUACGGAAGGAAGCAGUGGGGAAUGUUAGACAAUGGGGGCAACACUGAUGUAGCCAGGCCGCGUGAGUCAUGAAGGCGUUAGGAUUGUAAAGCUCUUUCAGCUGGGAAGAUUAUGACGGUACCAGCAGAAGAAGCCCCGGCUAACUCCGUG
RNAcentral lists this ribosomal RNA (431 nucleotides) under uncultured bacterium. RNAcentral describes it as "partial 16S ribosomal RNA". It matches the Rfam family "Bacterial small subunit ribosomal RNA", at positions 29 to 507 of the family's 1533-position model. The record is from RNAcentral.